CGAGCGCCGUUGCUGAGCCCUGCAAAUAGCAGCUACCUGCUUCAGCCUAGAUCCUGCCAUGAAGCGGACUGCUGCUCCCUGGCUCCCACUCUGAUCUGCUUUUCACUCUUGCCUUGUCUCCCAAUUAAUAAGCAGCAUUGUGUGCCCGUAGCAACAGCGGGUUAAAAAGAAAAAGUACUGGAGAUCGCAUGAAGGUUGAUUGCCCUAGAGAAGUCGACACGCUCACACAGAUGGAAAUGAUUUCACCGAGUCCUGAAAAAUGUGGUCGUCAGCCCCACAUACAAACCACGACUUGUGUUUUCUUUAAGAUGAGGAGUCUGGUCAAGAGGUCUGUGUAAUAAAAGAUGUUUGUAGAAUCCA
Molecule: long non-coding RNA, 360 nt
Filed under: Homo sapiens (human)
Lineage: Eukaryota; Metazoa; Chordata; Mammalia; Primates; Hominidae
Description: non-protein coding lnc-RBP1-5:4
Source: RNAcentral